GAGUUUGAUCCUGGCUCAGGAUGAACGCUGGCGGCGUGCUUAACACAUGCAAGUCGAACGGGAAUGCCACGCUGAUGCGAUUUCGGUCAAAUCAUGUGGCAUUCGAGUGGCGGACGGGUGAGUAACGCGUGGGUAACCUGCCUUACACAGGGGGAUAACACCUGGAAACAGGUGCUAAUACCGCAUAAGCGCACAGGGCCGCAUGGCCCGGUGUGAAAAACUCCGGUGGUGUAAGAUGGACCCGCGUCUGAUUAGCUUGUUGGCGGGGUAGGGGCCCACCAAGGCGACGAUCAGUAGCCGGCCUGAGAGGGUGGACGGCCACAUUGGGACUGAGACACGGCCCAAACUCCUACGGGAGGCAGCAGUGGGGGAUAUUGGACAAUGGGGGAAACCCUGAUCCAGCGACGCCGCGUGAGUGAAGAAGUAUUUCGGUAUGUAAAGCUCUGUCAGCAGGGAAGAAAGAAAUGACGGUACCUGACCAAGA
Molecule: ribosomal RNA, 484 nt
Filed under: uncultured bacterium
Lineage: Bacteria
Description: bacterial SSU rRNA
Rfam family: Bacterial small subunit ribosomal RNA
Source: RNAcentral